This 253-nucleotide ribosomal RNA is filed under the name uncultured bacterium. Its description in RNAcentral is "partial 16S ribosomal RNA". It matches the Rfam family "Bacterial small subunit ribosomal RNA", at positions 524 to 776 of the family's 1533-position model. The record is from RNAcentral.
UACAGAGGUCCCAAGCGCUGUUCGGAUUCACUGGGCGUAAAGGGUGCGUAGGCGGUAGGAUAAGUCUGGUGUGAAAGCUCAGGGCUCAACCCUGAAAUUGCAUUGGAAACUAUCUUACUAGAGGAUUGGAGGGGAGACUGGAAUUCUCAGUGUAGCAGUGAAAUGCGUAGAUAUUGAGAGGAACACCAGUGGCGAAGGCGAGUCUCUGGACAAUUCCUGACGCUGAGGCACGAAAGCCGGGGGAGCAAACAGG